GAUGAACGCUAGCGGCAGGCUUAACACAUGCAAGUCGAGGGGUAGAGUUCUUCGGAACUUGAGACCGGCGCACGGGUGCGUAACGCGUAUGCAAUCUACCUUUUACAGAGGGAUAGCCCAGAGAAAUUUGGAUUAAUACCUCAUAGUAUAGUACAACCGCAUGGUUGAACUAUUAAAGUCACAACGGUAAAAGAUGAGCAUGCGUCCCAUUAGCUAGUUGGUAAGGUAACGGCUUACCAAGGCUACGAUGGGUAGGGGUCCUGAGAGGGAGAUCCCCCACACUGGUACUGAGACACGGACCAGACUCCUACGGGAGGCAGCAGUGAGGAAUAUUGGACAAUGGGCGCAAGCCUGAUCCAGCCAUGCCGCGUGCAGGAUGACGGUCCUAUGGAUUGUAAACUGCUUUUAUACGAGAAGAAACACUCCGACGUGUCGGAGCUUGACGGUAUCGUAAGAAUAAGGAUCGGCUAACUCCGUGCCAGCAGCCGCGGUAAUACGGAGGAUCCAAGCGUUAUCCGGAAUCAUUGGGUUUAAAGGGUCCGUAGGCGGUUUAAUAAGUCAGUGGUGAAAGCCCAUCGCUCAACGGUGGAACGGCCAUUGAUACUGUUAAACUUGAAUUAUUAGGAAGUAACUAGAAUAUGUAGUGUAGCGGUGAAAUGCUUAGAGAUUACAUGGAAUACCAAUUGCGAAGGCAGGUUACUACUAAUGGAUUGACGCUGAUGGACGAAAGCGUGGGUAGCGAACAGGAUUAGAUACCCUGGUAGUCCACGCCGUAAACGAUGGAUACUAGCUGUUGGAAGCAAUUUCAGUGGCUAAGCGAAAGUGAUAAGUAUCCCACCUGGGGAGUACGUUCGCAAGAAUGA
This 863-nucleotide ribosomal RNA is filed under the name uncultured bacterium. RNAcentral describes it as "bacterial SSU rRNA". It matches the Rfam family "Bacterial small subunit ribosomal RNA", at positions 28 to 897 of the family's 1533-position model. The record is from RNAcentral.